UGGCUCAGAGGUUAAAGCGUCUGCCUAUAAUGCAGGAGACCCGGGUUCAAUCCCUGG
RNAcentral lists this transfer RNA (57 nucleotides) under Bos taurus (domestic cattle). It matches the Rfam family "tRNA", at positions 8 to 63 of the family's 71-position model. From Rfam's summary of the family: Transfer RNA (tRNA) molecules are approximately 80 nucleotides in length. Their secondary structure includes four short double-helical elements and three loops (D, anti-codon, and T loops). Further hydrogen bonds mediate the characteristic L-shaped molecular structure. tRNAs have two regions of fundamental functional importance: the anti-codon, which is responsible for specific mRNA codon recognition, and the 3' end, to which the tRNAs corresponding amino acid is attached (by aminoacyl-tRNA synthetases). tRNAs cope with the degeneracy of the genetic code in two manners: having more than one tRNA (with a specific anti-codon) for a particular amino acid; and 'wobble' base-pairing, i.e. permitting non-standard base-pairing at the 3rd anti-codon position. Lineage: Eukaryota; Metazoa; Chordata; Mammalia; Artiodactyla; Bovidae. The record is from Rfam by way of RNAcentral. RNAcentral also lists the same sequence under 2 other names.